Molecule: ribosomal RNA, 583 nt
Filed under: uncultured Alphaproteobacteria bacterium
Lineage: Bacteria; Pseudomonadati; Pseudomonadota; Alphaproteobacteria
Description: bacterial SSU rRNA
Rfam family: Bacterial small subunit ribosomal RNA
Source: RNAcentral
AGCGCGUGUAGGCGGAACAUUAAGUCNGAGGUGAAAGCCCGGGGCUCAACCCCGGAACUGCCUUUGAAACUGGUGUUCUAGAAUCAGAUAGAGGGUGGUGGAAUUCUUAGUGUAGAGGUGAAAUUCGUAGAUAUUAAGAGGAACACCAGAGGCGAAGGCGACCACCUGGGUCUGUAUUGACGCUGAGACGCGAAAGCGUGGGGAGCGAACGGGAUUAGAUACCCCGGUAGUCCACGCCGUAAACGAUGUGUGUUAGAUGUUGGAGUUUAUACUUCAGUGUCACAGCUAACGCGUUAAACACACCGCCUGGGGAGUACGGUCGCAAGAUUAAAACUCAAAGGAAUUGACGGGGACCCGCACAAGCGGUGGAGCAUGUGGUUUAAUUCGAUGCUACGCGAAGAACCUUACCACCCUUUGACAUCUUGGUCGCGAAUCUUGUAAUAGAGAUUUUUCAGUUCGGCUGGACCAAUGACAGGUGUUGCAUGGCUGUCGUCAGCUCGUGUCGUGAGAUGUUGGGUUAAGUCCCGCAACGAGCGCAACCCUCAUCCUUAGUUGCCAGCGGGUUAUGCCGGGAACUCUAGGG